Non-coding RNA from Phrynosoma platyrhinos (Desert horned lizard), 71 nucleotides. The record is from the annotation of a GenBank genome assembly. Lineage: Eukaryota; Metazoa; Chordata; Lepidosauria; Squamata; Phrynosomatidae.
GCCAGUGUGGAGUAGUGGUUUGAGUGUUGGACUAUGAUUCUGGAGACCAGGGUUCGAACCCUGGCUUGGUC